This 1308-nucleotide ribosomal RNA is filed under the name Triticum aestivum (bread wheat). RNAcentral describes it as "partial small subunit ribosomal RNA". The record is from RNAcentral. Lineage: Eukaryota; Viridiplantae; Streptophyta; Magnoliopsida; Poales; Poaceae.
AUGGGGAACAUCUGCGGCGGCGCGGGGAAGGCCGAUGUGGCGGCGGACUACCGGCCGUCCAGCCCAGGAACAUCCAACUACAAGACGAGCGGCAGCGUCACCACCAGCAACAGCACCACGGGGAAGCUCUCAUCGGGAGGCAGCAGCACCUUCAUGGCCUCCACGGGCAGCGGCGGCACCAGCGGGGGCUUCGACGAGGCCGCGGCGGGUUUCCUCGAGGGCCAGAUCCUGGAGGCGCCCAACCUCCGCACCUUCACCUUCCUCGAGCUCAAGACGGCCACCAAGAACUUCAGGCCCGACAGCGUGCUCGGGGAGGGAGGGUUCGGGAGGGUCUACAAGGGGUGGGUGGACGAGAAGACGAUGAACCCCACCAAGAGCGGCACCGGCAUGGUCGUCGCGGUCAAGAAGCUCAACUCAGAGAGCAUGCAGGGGUAUGAGGAAUGGCAGUCAGAGAUAAACUUUCUGGGAAGGCUCUCGCAUCCAAACCUUGUCAAGCUGUUGGGCUACUGCUGGGAGGACAAGGAACUGUUGCUUGUCUACGAGUUCAUGGCCAAAGGGAGCUUGGAAAACCAUCUUUUCAGAAGAUGUGCUCCGCUGUCAUGGGAACUGAGGCUGAAGAUAGCCAUUGGUGCAGCUCGAGGACUUGCAUUCUUGCAUGCAUCAGAGAAGCAAGUUAUCUACAGGGACUUCAAGGCUUCCAAUAUUCUUCUAGAUGCAAGUUAUAAUGCGAAGCUCUCCGACUUUGGGCUUGCUAAGCUUGGACCAACGGGUAGCAACUCUCAUAUCACGACUAGGGUUAUGGGCACCUAUGGAUAUGCGGCUCCGGAAUACGUAGCCACCGGCCAUUUGUAUGUCAAGAGCGACGUUUACGGUUUCGGAGUUGUGAUGCUGGAGAUGCUGUCCGGCAAGCGAGCGUUGGACCCCAACCGUCCCAAUGGACAACAGAGCCUCGUUGACUGGGCGAAGCCCUACUUGGCUGACCGGAGAAAGCUCGCCCGCCUUAUGGACCCUCAGUUCGAGGGCCAGUACAACUCCAAACAGUCCCACCAGGCGGCGCAGCUGACGCUGAACUGCCUUGCCGGUGAGCCCAGGAUGAGGCCGUCGAUGAAGGAGGUCCUCGAGACGCUCGAGCAGAUCGAGGCACUGAAGAGCCGGACAAGGGAGACAAGAGGAGGGAGCGGGACGUCAUCCAGGGACCGUGCCCACGGCCGCUCUGCUGCAGUGCACCAGCGGUCAUCUCCACGCGGCAACGGUGAUGGGCGCCGUGGCUCGAGGCCCACCAACGGGCACGCCACGAAGGCACGGUGA